AGCUCAGUGGUAGAGCACAUGCUUAGCAUGCCUGAGGUCCUGGGUUCAAUUCCCAG
This 56-nucleotide transfer RNA is filed under the name Camelus bactrianus (Bactrian camel). It matches the Rfam family "tRNA", at positions 9 to 63 of the family's 71-position model. Rfam says of the family: Transfer RNA (tRNA) molecules are approximately 80 nucleotides in length. Their secondary structure includes four short double-helical elements and three loops (D, anti-codon, and T loops). The record is from Rfam by way of RNAcentral. Lineage: Eukaryota; Metazoa; Chordata; Mammalia; Artiodactyla; Camelidae. RNAcentral also lists the same sequence under 2 other names.